Molecule: long non-coding RNA, 4537 nt
Organism: Cyprinus carpio carpio
Lineage: Eukaryota; Metazoa; Chordata; Actinopteri; Cypriniformes; Cyprinidae
Source: Ensembl
CUCAAGCUUGCUGCAGGGUUUUUUUUUUCUUUGUCCAAAUCAUGCAACAAUUUGCUGCUGUUUUUUAUAACCUGAAAUAAGAUUAAAGUCCUAUUAUUAGUGACUCAUGCUGAUUUACAUUUAUGCAUUUGGAAAACACUUUUAUCCAAAACACCUUUGCUUUCAAUAUCAGUUCAUGCAUUCAUAUAAAUGGGAAUCAUAUAACUUUGAUGUUACUAAAGUCAUGCUGUACUAUUCUGUUCAUGACUUGCUAUAGCAUUUUUAUUUUUAUUUUUAUUUAUUAUUAUUAUUAUUAUUUUAAGUUUUAAAUAAAACAAAUAUUAUUGGAGUAUGGUUUAUAAGAAAAGACUAUUUGAGUCUUUACAUCUCAGAAUUUCAUGUUUAAUUCACUGUGUUACUUGCUGCUUCUUUGUAAUUAUUUGUGAAAUGUAUUAAUUAUUUCUGAAUGAAAAAUGUUUCUAAGUAAUUUCUACAUGUGUGUGUGUGUGUGUGUGUGUGUGUGUGUGUGUGUGUGUGUGUGUCAUCCAAAUUUAUUCUCUAAUUUCAGUCUGGACUACUUUAAAUGUAAGGGAGUCAUUUUGGUUAUAGAUUCAGUUUUUAUUCUCUUUUAAAGCUAAACUGUGUAUGAGAUAUAUUAUAUUUAGCAGGAAACAGGACUCAGGAAACCACAAUGUGAUGCUGUGUGGACAUGUACAGUACCGACUAUGCCAUGGUAGAGAUUCAUAUUCAACAUUUGAAGACAUAUCAUUUAUAGAUUGUUCCUCUGGCUCUUUUUUGUCCCCCACCUUCCUCUUUUCUGUGCCGUGUCAUUAGCACCAGCUCUGGGGCGGCGAAGACCACAUUUAUUUCUUCAUAUGGUGUAAUGUGUCACCCCCUUUUCCCCCUCCUUUUUCAAUUCACUGAAAUUUAGAUUUCCACUUCAAGGGAGCUGUGGCAGUGAUGGAAUCAAAGGCUCGCCUGUGGCUUUGAACCCUCCUGAUGAAGAGAUGAAAAGGGCCAGGUUGCUGGAGCUUCUAGCGCUCACCACUCCAGUUCCUGUCUGGCCAGUGGAAAAGAACAGAAUUGAGGGCCAGGCUGACCCACUGCCGAUGCCUGGCAGGAAGGAACAUUGGAAGGAAUAUCAAGAUACUAAUCCUCCGCUGCUUCAGGAGGUCGGGUCGUGCUCAGCAGUGGGCAGAGCUCAAAUGCAAACCCAGGAGCAUUUCCCAGCCUGCCAUUCGAAGAUUCCUCUUAUGCAGCACGGGAUGCACCAGACAAAGAGAGAUUGGGUGUUGGAGGACACUGAAGAAUGGAAGGCAAGGGAGUGCCCAAGCGCCCAGGAGGGAUCACUCACAGUGGGAUUAGACAUUCAGACACAGCUGGGUAUCGCUGUCUGGAUGGGUCUCUUUCAUCAAAUAGAUGGCUCGCUAUUGUGAGUGUUGCACUAGUGGGAAUUUGCUCUUAAGUAUGGAGUGAGAAAGGUCCAAGGGACUGGGAGGACACAUGCAUUGAAUGGCAAAGAGCCAAGGGAAGUGAAAAAAGAUAUAGUGGUUACUGUGGAGGGCAUUGCUUUAAAAAUACAUAAGCUGGGAAUGGAAUAAGUAAGUGCCUUAAACCCUUGCAAUUGAUUAUUGGUGCCUGGGGGGCAAUACUGAUAAUGAUGCCUCUAUUAAAUGGAUCCCCCCACCCAUUUCUGUGGAUAAAUGAGUAAUUAUAGCCAUUUAACAUUACAUUAAAUAACAACUUUUAAUUAAAUUGUUAAAGUGUUAAACUUGUUAUAAGUUUAAUUAAUAAAUUACAGUUAAUUGGUUUUAUUACAUUUAUUUGUUUUAAAGAUUAUUCAGAAUUAUAAUAUUGUAUAACUUAUGAUGUUGUUAACCUUAAAAUAUUCACAUAAACCAAUUACAAUAAAUGUUUUUAAUAUGUGAGUAUCAGUCAUCUCAAUACAACAUCAAUAUCACAAGUAUUAAUAACUUGUUUUUUGAAUUUGAAUUAUUUCAACACAUUAAACAGCAAAUACAAUAUAAUACAAUGUAAUGUAAUGUAAUAUAAUAUAAUAUAUUAUAAUAUAAUAUACCGUACAUAGUGGAUUAAUUUAAAUACAGUAACAGCACAUAUUUUUAUUGCAUUUUGUGCUUGGUUAAGUUGAAAUGCUGGUAGUUAGUAUAUAAGACACACACUGAGAAAAUGUUUGCUAAAGUGAUUGAGUUUGAUUGUUGGCUGCAUAUUGAGAGACCAUUUAGAUUUCAUUAUUAUUCACUUAACUUGUGUUUGUGUAGAGAAAUAGAGAGAAGACAGAUCCAACAAAUAGAAGAUUGGCAUCAGUUAUUAUGUUCCGUGUGGCCUCCAAUCAAAACAUUCAGUGUCUAUACCUGUAAAUACCUGUAGCACUUAUUCAUCCAUGUAUACAUCCAUAUAGCUAGUCAUUUAUUUAUUUAUUUCAACAGAACAGUUUCUAAAGAUGUUUUUAACAAACCAAAUCACAUACGGAAGGGGAGACAGAAAACAAAAUUACAGGUUCCUUAGGCUCUUUAUCUCAAGGGUGCAGGAAAGCAUUUUAAAAGUGUGGCAUAUUAUUCGAGUGUUUACUGUCACUAGAUUGUGUGAUUUCUGGUCGCUUUUGCAAGCUGUCUCCUCUGAUGAAGAAUAGGUUGAGGAAUGGAAGCAGCACUGAUUGUUUUUCUAAGAGGAAAGACAUGACAGGAAGAAGUUAAUUGCAUUUGAUUAUCCUUUGCUUUGAGGUACAUCAUCCAAUGGAUUGCCAUCUCAUAUGCCCAGUAUUUAAAUAUAUAUAUAUAUAUAUAUAUAUAUAUAUAUAUAUCUCUGUGAGUCCAUUACUGUGUAUUGACAACACCGGAAAUGCAUAUAAACACAGCGUCAGACAUCACACAUGUAUUUAUGAAUGCUGAUAUGGACUCUUGUUCUAUUAAUUUUUGCCAUAGGAUAAUGUGUUCAAAGUCCUCCUCCAGUUCUUUUACUCUUCAUGGAUUUGGUUUGUUUGCCAUAUUGGUAAUCUGAUGAUAUUUAUUUGUUUGCUUGUAUCGUUCAGUAUUGGAUAUUUAAUUGUUCAUGUUCAUUUCCUUCAGUUUACCAUUUUGUGGUAUCUUUGCCCUAGUGCUCUCUUAAAAAUAAUCUUUUAAAACAUUAAUCAGAAUCAGAAUCAGAAUGAGCUUUAUUGCCAGGUAUGUUUACACAUACAAGGAAUUUGUUUUCAUGUGAGAAACUUCUGCAGUGCAACAGAAUGACAGCGACAGAACAAAAAACACAUAAUAAAAUAAUAAAAAAUACAAAUAAGUAGGUAAGGAAUAACAAUAUACAAAUUUACAAUUGUAUGUGCAGGUAUAUUACAAUAGGCAGUUUUGUAUGUACAGGUAUAUUAUGUGAAAAUUUGAAGUGUAGACUAAGUAUGUGUGUUAGAUAAAUAUGUGUAUGUGUGUAUAAAUAGUGUUGUGUGUUCCACAGUUAUUGUCAAGUGUUCAUGAGAUGGAUUGCCUGGGGGAAGAAACUGUUCCUGUGUCUGGUCGUUCUGGUGCUCAGAGCUCUGUAGCGUUGACCAGAUGGCAACAGUUCAAAGAGGGAGUGUGUUGGAUGUGAGGAGUCCUGAGUGAUUUUGCAAGCCCUUUUGCUCACUCUGGAUAAGUACAGUUCUUGAAUAGAAGGGAGGGUUGUACCGAUGAUUCGCUCAGCAGUCCAGACUACCCUCUGUAGUCUUCUGAGGUCAGAUUUGGUAGCUGAGCUGAACCAGACAGUUACUGAAGUGCAGAGCACGGAUUCAAUGAUGGCAGAGUAGAACUGUUUCAGCAGCUCUUGUGGUAAGUUGAAUUUCCUCACCUGGCGAAGGAAGUACAACCCCUGCUGGGCCUUUUUCAAUGUCAAUGUGAAUGUCCCACUUCAGGUCCUGAGAGAUUGUGGUGCCCAGGAACCUGAAUGACUCCACUGCAGUCACAGUGCUGUUCAUGAUGGUGAGUGGGGGGAGAGCAGGGGGGUUUCUCCUGAAGUCCACUAUCAUCUCCACUGUUUUGAGUGUGUUGAGCUCCAGGUUGUUGAGACUUCACCAGACAGCCAGCUCUUUAACCUCCUGUCUGUAAGCAGACUCGUCACCAUCCUGAAUGAGCCCUACAAGUGUGAUGUCGUCAGCAAACUUCAGGAGCUUGACAGAGGGGUUAGUAGAUGUGUAGUCGUUGGUGUACAAGGAGAAGAGCAGUGGGGAGAGAAUGCAGCCAUGAGGAGCUCCAGUGCUGGUUAUAUGGGUACUGGAUGUGUAUUUUCCCAGUCUCACUAGCUGCUGCCUGUCUGUCAGGAAGCUGUUGAUCCACUGACAGACGGAGGUGGGCACGGAGAUCUGAGUUAGUUUGGGCAGGAGAAGGUUUUGGAUGUUAGUGUUAAAGGCCGAGCUGAAGUCCACAAACAGGAUCCUCACAUAAGUCCCUGGUCUGUCUAGGUGUUUUUAGAACAUAAUGCAGUCCAAUGUUUACUGCAUCGUCCACAGACCUGUUUGCUCUGUAGACAAACUGAAGAGUUUGGAGAGGUGUUCAGGGCGAGUUGCAAGAGGUGUUAU